RNAcentral lists this ribosomal RNA (492 nucleotides) under uncultured bacterium. Its description in RNAcentral is "partial 16S ribosomal RNA". It matches the Rfam family "Bacterial small subunit ribosomal RNA", at positions 29 to 507 of the family's 1533-position model. The record is from RNAcentral.
AGUGAACGCUGGCGGUAGGCCUAACACAUGCAAGUCGAACGGCAGCACAGUAAGAGCUUGCUCUUACGGGUGGCGAGUGGCGGACGGGUGAGGAAUACAUCCGAAUCUACUUUUUCGUGGGGGAUAACGUAGGGAAACUUACGCCAAUACCGCAUACGAUCUACGGGUGAAAGCAGGGGAUAUUCGGACCUUGCGCGAAUGAAUGAGCCGAUGUCGGAUUAGCUAGUUGGCGGGGUAAAGGCCCACCAAGGCGACGAUCCGUAGCUGGUCUGAGAGGAUGAUCAGCCACACUGGAACUGAGACACGGUCCAGACUCCUACGGGAGGCAGCAGUGGGGAAUAUUGGACAAUGGGCGCAAGCCUGAUCCAGCCAUACCGCGUGGGUGAAGAAGGCCUUCGGGUUGUAAAGCCCUUUUGUUGGGAAAGAAAAGCAGCAGGUUAAUACCCCGCUGUUCUGACGGUACCCAAAGAAUAAGCACCGGCUAACUUCGUG